CCGGAAGGAAACAGCAAAGCACCAAUCACAAGCGAGAUCACUAAUGCCAAAGGCCGUCAUUUCCUCCCUCCAUCGGCUGGCCAUGGCGGAGCACGGAGCUGAGUGUCGCUGGCUGGCAUCGCCACACCCAAGCGUGCUCGCUCGGUCUCGUCGCAUCUCCAUCUCCAUCGACGGAGAGGACAGUUAUGCACAUGCAUCUGAAGACCCAAGAUGGCUGUGUGGCGCCGACACAAUCUCCUGACACAACUUACCUGAGUGACACAACUUACCUGACACAACUUACCACAGCCCUGAUAAUUUCUUCUUUAUGGAACAUUGUGAAAGUAGAGACUUGGAGCAAGUCUAACCGACCCCCGCCUUUCCGUACCCGGAAGCAGCAAGCACCAAUCACAGGCUAGAUCACCAACGGCCUCCAUGAGCUGGCCACGUGCACGUUUCUUGUGCCCGGCAUCACCAACAUGCUGGUUCUGUCUGGUCAAAUCUCCAUCGCUGGUCAGGGACAGCUGCCUGCUGACCCGAUGUCACACAACCACGGCCCUCUCCCCCCUGGCUCCCACUCCCAAGGAAACAGUUCAUUACCCAGACCAACAUGGCUGUGCGGCCACUGACAUCACCUCUCCACACAUCCUUCUGACACAGCCUCCUGACACAUCCUUCUGACACAGCCUUCUGACACAGCCUCCUGACAGCCUCCUGACACAGCCUUCUGUCACAUCCUUACAAUCCUCACAGCAACUUGAUAUUUACUUCAAGAUGGAAGAUUGUGUAAGGACCAUACUCUCUACCUGAAGACGUUUGACAAAUGUCUAACAGUUGGGGAGACCUCAUCUCUCCAAAUGGCGACGUGCGAUGGAAAUUUGAAUCAAAGAUGGAUAUUCGAGAAAUCUAAAUUUGAAAACCAACGCGUUCUCAGGAAUUACAGAUAAACCGUCAUUCAUGAACUCAUUCAUCAUUCAGAACAGGCGCCGAAAUUCGCUGUGCAGAGUUGCGUCCCUUGGGCGCACCAGAAACCGAUGAUUGUUUGUUCGAAUCCCGGUUCGCCUUGAUUAUGUCCUAGGUUUGUCAGCACC
This is an RNA transcript of Haliotis rufescens (red abalone), 1070 nucleotides long. RefSeq lists it as uncharacterized. The transcript has 6 exons. The record is from RefSeq and is a predicted model, not a curated record. Lineage: Eukaryota; Metazoa; Mollusca; Gastropoda; Lepetellida; Haliotidae.